Molecule: ribosomal RNA, 253 nt
Filed under: uncultured bacterium
Lineage: Bacteria
Description: partial 16S ribosomal RNA
Rfam family: Bacterial small subunit ribosomal RNA
Source: RNAcentral
UACGAAGGGGGCUAGCGUUGCUCGGAAUCACUGGGCGUAAAGCGCACGUAGGCGGCUUUCUAAGUCAGGGGUGAAAUCCUGGAGCCCAGCUCCAGAACUGCCUUUGAUACUGGAGAGCUUGAGUCCGGAAGAGGUGAGUGGAACUCCGAGUGUAGAGGUGAAAUUCGUAGAUAUUCGGAAGAACACCAGUGGCGAAGGCGGCUCACUGGUCCGGUACUGACGCUGAGGUGCGAAAGCGUGGGGAGCAAACAGG